GAUUGGAUUGAGCCUUAGUAUGGAAACCUGCUAAGUGGUAACUUCCAAAUUCAGAGAAACCCUGGAAUUAAAAAUGGGCAAUCCUGAGCCAAAUCUUUGUUUUGAAAGAAGAAACGAUGGAAAAUGAGAAGAAAAAGGGAUAGGUGCAGAGACUCAAUGGAAGCUGUUCUAACGAAUGAAAUUGACUACAUUAUGUACGUUACGUUAGUAGCUAAAAUAUUUCUAUAUAUACCUAAUACGUACGUAUACAUACUGAUAUAGCAAACGAUUAAUCACAACCCAAAUCUUCUAUUUCUUCUUUCUUUCUAUUCUUCUAUUCUAUAUUAUUUAUAUUCUAGAAUAUAGAAGAUUUAUCUAAUAUAUUUAGAUAAUAUAUUAGUCUAAGUAUAUAUAGAAAGUCUAAAGAAAUAAGAUGAGAUAAGGAUCUAUAGAAACCCUCUAGUUCUAUAUUUCUAUUCUCUAUGAAUUAGAAUGAUAGAGAUCAAAAACUAUAUGAAAAAUUGAAGAGUUAUUGUGAAUCAAUUCCAAUUGAAGUUGAAAAAAGAAUGGAAUUCAAAUAUUCAGUGAUCAAAUGAUUCAUUCCAGAGUUUGAUAGAUCUUUUUAAGAUUAAUCGGACGAGAAUAAAGAGAGAGUCCCUUUUUACAUGUCAAUACCGACAACAAUGAAAUUUAUAGUAAGAGGAAAAUCCGUCGAAUUUUUAAAUCGUGAGGGUUCAAGUCCCUCUAUCCCCA
Molecule: non-coding RNA, 732 nt
Filed under: Stelis nigriflora
Lineage: Eukaryota; Viridiplantae; Streptophyta; Magnoliopsida; Asparagales; Orchidaceae
Description: transfer RNA-Leu
Rfam family: Group I catalytic intron (bases 1-165)
Source: RNAcentral